This is an RNA transcript of Musa acuminata subsp. malaccensis (wild Malaysian banana), 7154 nucleotides long. RefSeq lists it as uncharacterized. NCBI's taxonomy places the organism in Eukaryota, Viridiplantae, Streptophyta, Magnoliopsida, Zingiberales, Musaceae. The record is from RefSeq and is a predicted model, not a curated record.
UCACGAAAGAAGCAGCCAAAGCUGUUUUGGUAUCUUCGUCGUCGCCCUAACCCUAAUCACCCCAUCACCACCCACCCCUCCCCCCCAAAUCGAACCAUCGUCAUGGCCAGCGAGGAGUCGCCGUCGCCGACCUCAAGCGGCAAGCACUGCCGUUCGGCAGACGAUCAUGAGGCCGAGACAUCGUCGAAGCGACGGAAGCACCGUCACCGUCACCAUCACCGCCAUCACAGCAGACGCGGUCGCGAGAGUGAUGACGGGGCCGAGGAGGCCGCUCGGCUUGCGGAGGCGGUGACUGCUUCUUGUCCCGUUCCGAAGCCUGCUGAUGAGGAGCGAGAGGAGGGUGAGAUUCUCGAAGAUGACGAGGAGAUGGCCAACCUUGAUCAUACUAAAGUCGAUGGCUUCGUGACCGAUGGGGUUUCCGACUCUGGAUCGGGUGAAAUCAAGCCUGACGGCGUCGAUGUUUAUUCCAAUCUGAUUGUGCCUGGGGUGAAAGAUAGUUCUGGGAAAAAUGUUUUGGUGCUUAGUAAUAAGCAGAACACACUGAAAGAUGAAAAGAUGUUGGACCUUGCUUGGUCAUGUGAGAAUUCUAGUUUGAAUGAUACAGCUUGGAUGGAGGUAGAUACGUCAGAUGGAGAAAAUUGUGUCUGGAAGGCUGAGAGUAUAACAAAAUCAUUAGAACUAAAUGACAACAAGCAAAUGCAAACUGACAGAAAUGAUUCAGAAAGUCAAGUAAGAUCAAGAUCUCCGGUUUCUAAAGAAAGUUCUCAUGCAGCAAAGGACAGGAUGAGUUAUGACCAUGUGAAAAAAACUUCUGACAGUGACUCAGAUAAGGUUGACUCAAAGCAGUAUAUGGAGUCAAAGGAUGCUAACAGAAGAGCAACUGAUAGGAACAGGUCAGUGUCGCCCAAAAGUUCGCAAGAAAGGUACAAGAACACUAGAAGGUCUCCAGCGUCCAUCAGGUACCAUGUUGAAGACAAAUAUAGGGAUAAGUCCAGGCCUAUUGAUCAUAGAAAGAGGAGAUCAUAUGAAAAGGUCUCAGAGCAUUCAGACAUGGGUGAUGAUCAAGUUGGUUUGCAGGAAAGUAAGAGGGAUUAUUCCAAUAGGCAGCAUAAGUUGGACAGAUGUGCAGCUAGAAAUCGAGUAAGUGAUAUAGAGAUUCCUAACGAAAGAGAGAGUAGUGGCAAAAGAAGACAUGAUGACAGGCACAGAAGUCAGGAAAGGGAUAAGGAGAGGGAAAGAAGUAGUAGUAGUGUCAGAGACACAGAUAAAACACAGUUGGAUAAAAGGUCUCACAGGGAAAAAGAGAGGAGUAGCAAUCAUAGCAGAUAUGACAGACAAGCAGACAAGCAUGAAAUUUGGGACAGAGAAAGUGGGAAAGAAAAAUACAGCUUCAGCACAAGAGACAGAGUAAGAGAUAAACCAAGGGAUUUGAAUAGGGAGAAAUAUGUAGAGAGGGAGAGGUUAAGGGAGAGUAAGCAUGAAAAAAAACGGGAUGAUAGUGAUAGAGAUAAGAAUAAGUCUAGGGACAGGGAAAUUAUUGCUCAUAAGGGUAAAGAACAUGGUGAUCAAAUGGAAACAGAUAGGAUUAGUAGCAGGUAUAGACAUAGGGAAUCUAGGCAUCCAAAGUACGAUGAAGUAGAGCAUCACAAGGAUAAAUCACGUUCGGAGGCUGGUUUCAAAAAAGACAAUUCUGACAAAGACACACAAAAGUCUAUUAGGGAGGAGGAGGAAGAGGAAGAUUACCAAGAUAAAAUUGAACAACAGCUUGCUAAGCAGGAUGAAGAUGAUGUUGACAUGAUUAAAAAUGAGAGCAGAAAAAGGAGGCAGGCUAUCUUGGAAAAAUAUCAACAGCGGCAGCUACAGCAAGUUGAAUCCUCAUCUGAUGGUAAUGUGAAUGAAUCUGAGAAAGCCACUUCGGAUAAGGAGAAUCUACAGGGAUUGCUUGGUAUGAGUGUUGAUAACAAAGUGAAUAAUGAAGAGCUUGAGAAUAGGGAUGACUCCAGAAAUGUAUUUGAUGUUGGUCCAUCGUUUUCUGUGGGAAAGUCACCUGUACAGAAUGGAGAUUUAGCUGAUAAGAAAAUGAACAAUGUUGGGGGACUUGGAGAGGGUACUCCAAAGAGUGAAAUAUCAGCCGAUAUGUUUACUGAUGACAUGUUUGGAGAAUCACCAGCUGGAGUUUGUGUGAAGGGAAAGUGUGAAGGACCACAGAUAGACAGAAGUUAUCUUCAUGACAACUGGGAUGAUGCAGAGGGUUAUUAUAGUUACAGGUUUGGGGAAGUACUCGAUGGUCGCUAUGAAGUUGUUGCAGCACAUGGAAAGGGUGUCUUCUCAACAGUUGUUCGUGCUAGGGAUCUCAAGGCUGGGAAAGGUGACCCUGAAGAAGUGGCUAUUAAAAUGAUUCGCAACAAUGAUACCAUGUACAAGGCAGGUCAGGAUGAACUUGUUAUAUUGAAGAAAUUGGUAGGCGCUGAUCCCGAGGACAAACGUCAUUGUGUUAGGUUUCUUUCAUCUUUCAAGUAUCGGAAUCAUCUUUGCUUAGUUUUUGAAUCUCUUCAUAUGAACCUUCGUGAGGUUCUAAAGAAAUUUGGUCGUAACAUUGGGCUAAAACUGACUGCUGUGAGGGCCUAUGCAAAGCAGCUUUUCAUUGCGCUGAAGCAUCUCAGAAAUUGUGGCGUUCUGCACUGUGACAUUAAACCGGAUAAUAUGCUGGUAAAUGAGCCCAAAAAUGUGCUCAAGCUUUGUGAUUUUGGCAAUGCUAUGUUCGCGGGUAAGAAUGAGAUUACACCCUACCUUGUUAGCCGCUUUUACCGUGCCCCAGAAAUAAUUCUUGGAUUGCCAUAUGAUCAUCCAAUGGACGUGUGGUCGGUUGGUUGCUGUCUAUAUGAACUGUACACAGCGAAAGUACUCUUUCCUGGUCCAUCAAACAAUGACAUGCUUCGACUACACAUGGAGUUAAAGGGUCCUUUCCCCAAAAAGAUGCUUCGGAAGGGUGCCUUCACAGAUCACCAUUUUGAUCAAGAUUUAAAUUUUCAUGCCACUGAGGAGGAUCCUGUUACAAAGAAGCCUGUUAAGAGACUGCUGAUAAAUAUUAAGCCAAAGGACAUCGGCGCUCUCAUGUCAGGCUUUUCUGAGGAGGAUCCCAAAAUGUUAUCAAAUUUUAAGGAUCUUCUAGAUCGAAUAUUUGUAUUGGAUCCAGAAAAGAGGAUGACAGUAUCUCAGGCAUUAAGUCAUCCAUUUAUCACGGGCAAGUGAAAUAAGAUGCUGAUUUUCCUGACUCUAGAAAUGUUGUUCAGCUAUGAGUCUACCAUGUGAUCUAUAUUGAUAUUUCCCAUCUAAUUCUUCGGCGUUUAUUCUGUCUUUUCACUGCUUGGUGGAGCUUGGUGGAUCGCGUUGAAGAGGAGUUGAAAGGAUCAUUUGUUUUAAAGCCUUUCUUCAUGGGAGUUCUUAACAUGGGAUGUGUUUCUGUUUCUUGGUUCUGCCAGGGCUAUGUGGCUAUCAACAGUGUUUUAGAUGCUAGAAGACAACCAAAAAAAGAUGGGAGAUUGCUGGAAGCAUUGCUUGUGCUGUUGAAAUCAAUGUACACUGGCCUACUAGUUGGCUUUGACAAAAGAUUGAAGGGAAUACGAAGAGAAGAAGAGGAAGAUGAGGUGGAGUGAGAGAAGUAGAGUGAAGUCCGACUGAGGUAGCAGCAAUGCAAUGGGAUGUGAACAGGCAGGGGCGGUGGAGCAGUGCGAAGCAGUAGUGAGAAGGAAGGCGUGGAGAAGGGAGAGAAUGAGAGAUAGACAGGGUCUAGUUACAUGGGACGGAAGAUUAAAGAAAAAGAAAAAGGAAUGACAACCAUAAAAAGAAUGAUAGGGGUACUAGGUGGUAUGCUAAUUACCCUGUACCCCCGGUUUUAACUAUUAAAACCUGGUGGCAAUCCUGGUUUGGUAGGGAUGUUAGACAAUUAUUCUUCCUCUGAACCAGAUUGGGGGAAAUGAUCCAAUUUGUAAUCCUUUUUCUGGUUGGAGAGGUAAAUAGUGACUGGUAUGAACUGGUCUAAUUGGUUUUGUUAUUCAUGACUGUGGAUAGGCUGUUCUUUGUCUGAAUUCACCAAAGCAAAACAUAAUUACGAGAGUUUGUCUGACCACUUCCAAUGAAAGUGUUGGCCACUGUUCAUUAAGUGCUUCUUUAUACUGUUUAGUUCCAUGUAACAAACAAUUUAAAGUUAUCAAAUCAUUUGAAAUCAUUUGUUAGAUUUUGCUAUCGACUUUCAGUGAACCAAACUGGUUCAUGAUUAAGCCUUGUGCUUCUGUUUAUUUCUGAUGAACCAGACGCACUAUUGGAAAAGUCUUUGCUGGAUUGUAGACUUUUCUGUAUGCAUGUAUUGCCCAUAGAAGGGCAAGCCUUGGUGCCAUGACAAGUUUGCUUGUUUGCAACUUGGGUGGCCAGAGUUCAAGUCACAGAAACAACCUUGCAAAGGUAAGACUGUGUACAUGGCAAUCUGAGAUCCCACACAAGUGAGAAUCUCUAUACACUGGGGUCAUCCUUUGUUGUGUAUUGUUGCCACCAUUAAUCAUAUGCUAAAUAGGAGGCAAGGGAUGGACCCAUGAUUUGUGGACUUCUUCUAAUCUAGAGGAUUUGAUGAGUAUUAUUUUCAUAUUAAUACUCCUUAUGCGGCCAAGGCUACUGGCAAGUUGCCUUGAUCUGUUUAAUUUUUUAAAGAGUGCAAACAUUUGGAAUUAUUGAAGUUUAGGGUGUUGGUUUUCCACGAUUAGAACUUUAAAUGCCCAGCUACAAGCAACUACCAAACUGUAAUUACUUUUAGAUGCCUAUAAAGUGGGUGCUGACUUGCAGUUGUGACUACAACCUAUAGUCAAAUUGGAAAAUUACCUAUGAAUAAUGCCAAUGCAAGUGAUUUUUCAGACAAGUGUAGUAAAUUUCUUCUAUAGCGUGCAAAAAUUGCAUUUGCAAUUGCAAACCGGUUCGAGGCAAGCAAAUACACUUAUAUUCGCAAAUCAAUGCAUUCCUUUUCACAUGUAAUUGCAGAAGCAUAGGUGACCAAACAUGUCCUUAAUAUGAUUCCUGUUGUGCUAGUUGCAGUAUGCUAUUAUUGAAAUUUGAAAGGUUGUUCAGCUGUCAAGUUCAUGUCUUCUAAUAUUUCACAGUUCAUCAUUAUAUUUUGGGGCUACUAAUUUGAAGUUUAUUAAGGGAGACAAUGAACCCUUCCUUGAGAAGGAAAAAGGAUUAUGUAAUUUUUCUCUUGUUUACUUGUUGAAAUUUAUUGGAAAGAUGGCUUCACUCUCUGGGCAAAUUCCGCAUAGUGGGAGCCUUGCACUGGGAACUUUUUUAAGUUUCACUUUGUAGCCAAUUUAUUUAGAACACAAAUUAAGGGGAUGCAUGAAAAUAAGUUGCAUGGGAAUUAAUUCAACAAAUUACCUCAAUAGGACCAUAUUUGCCUCUAUGUUUCGUCAAUGUGAUUCCAAGAAGUAAACAAAGUAAAAGUGAAUUAUGUUUACAAGGGUAACCUUGUUGACACCGAUGUGAGACAACCUGGUUUGCAAGAUUUUCUUGAUUUGAGCUCAACAUAGUUUGUUUCAUUUGGGAACAUAUGUUUUGUUUCUUUAACAAGGACAUAUUGUUAGUGAAAGGUACUCUAGUUGGUUAUAACUGCAGACUUGCAGCUUUUUGGUUAUAUAUUUUGGCUAGUUUGGUUUUAUUUCAUUUGGCUGAAGUUGCAGUGGUGAUAUCAGAUUGUUGUUGUUUGUGAAUUACAAAGGGUGAGAAGCUUCAUUCUUUUUUCUUUGAUUUUUGAAUUACCAAGGAUGAGAAACUUAAGCAUCAUCAAUUUGUGGGGUCCAUUUGUUGUUGGAGGAUGAGCAGGUUGGUAAAUUUCUUUGGGAUUAUGAUUUUGUAAUUCAUUGCUGGUGCAAUCUUUCUUUCUCAAAAUUCAAGCAGCUUAAUCGUUUCUACUUGGCUUUGAUGCUUAAUCAUGUCACCUUGUUGUAUUUAUUUUUCUAUGGCCCGAUUGCCUUUUAAUGCAAGCUUGCAACAUUUUUUUUUUCACAUAACAAGGUGCAGGAGUGCCUGUCCACCUUCGUCCAUCUUUUCCCUUUCUUUGUUUUCUUCCAUCAAUCCAUGUGCUGUAUUCUCCUCCAACAAUCAAUCCAAUGCUUACCUCUGUUCACAGCUGGAGUUGUAUUAGAUAGUGUCUUGAUUUAUUAUAUGGUAUCACUUGUAGGUAGGACCAGAACAAUUCAUGAAACUUUUAUUUUCAGGCAUUACAUUAUCAACUGAAUGCAAGAGAAGUUGAGUUUCUGUUGGUUGGUAUCUGCUUCUGGUGCAAUUUAUCAACUUAAUGCAUUUUUACCACAAAAACGGAAUCAACAUACAUGCUUUAAUUACCAUGGCAAAUUUUUUGUCAUCAUGCAGUGAAUAUUUUGAUGCACAGAGGAUGUGUAAAAUCAAACUUGCAUAUAUACGUCUGUCUAGAAUUAUUGAUGCUAUUUUUAGUUUGAUUGUAUCAAUCAGGUUCUUUUUAACUUCGGGUAUUUCUUUCAAAACCAUUGAGAUUCUCACCAUUUUGAUGUCAGUAAAAAAUCUACUAAGAUUGAAGCGAUCUUUUCAUGUACUGUGUGAAUGGUCAUCCUUAAGGAGCAUAUCCAAAUAUUUAUCAUCACAUGAGGUUUGAUAUUAUUUGUGAAGUUGGGAUGAUCGAGUUUAGACCAUCUUUGACUCAGGCCUGACUAUUUGAAAUAGUUCACCUUUCCCAGAGAGCUUUAUUGGCUAUUUGCUGACCUUUAGUGAGACAAAAUGUGUAAUUUUAUUUUAAGUGUGAAGGAACUUGGAAUUUUCAAGCAGUGGCAUUUGCAUCUGGAUGAUUAGUAUAGUUUCUCUGCUACAGUUCUGCUUGAUCUUCACCAUCUUUUUUAGUAGUUGCAACUAGAUUAUAGAGAUAAUCUGGAAAGAUGGAAGGGGGUAGAGAUUGGAAGGAGGGCCAUAUUGUCUAGAUCAGAAACAUGGAGAUGAAAUGUUUGUACAUUCAAUCCUCUUUCCUUUGUGUCACAUAAACAUAACUAGGUCGACAGGAUAGAAAUUUCACUUGGUACUGGGACUUAAUUAUAUAUGCCUGGCAUGGGACUUGUCUGUAAACCAAACCUGGCAGUCCUGGUGUG